RNAcentral lists this ribosomal RNA (463 nucleotides) under uncultured bacterium. Its description in RNAcentral is "partial 16S ribosomal RNA". It matches the Rfam family "Bacterial small subunit ribosomal RNA", at positions 28 to 507 of the family's 1533-position model. The record is from RNAcentral.
GACGAACGCUGGCGGCGUGCUUAACACAUGCAAGUCGAACGGAAAGGCCUUUUCGGAGGUACUCGAGUGGCGAACGGGUGAGUAACACGUGGGUGAUCUGCCCUGCACUCUGGGAUAAGCCUGGGAAACUGGGUCUAAUACCGGAUAGGACCGCACUUUAGCGUGUGUGGUGGAAAGUUUUUUCGGUGUAGGAUGAGCCCGCGGCCUAUCAGCUUGUUGGUGGGGUAAUGGCCUACCAAGGCGGCGACGGGUAGCCGGACUGAGAGGUUGGUCGGCCACAUUGGGACUGAGAUACGGCCCAGACUCCUACGGGAGGCAGCAGUGGGGAGUAUUGCACAAUGGGCGCAAGCCUGAUGCAGCGACGCCGCGUGGGGGAUGACGGCCUUCGGGUUGUAAACUCCUUUCGCCAGGGACGAAGCGUUUUGUGACGGUACCUGGAGAAGAAGCACCGGCUAACUACGUG